UACGGAGGGUGCAAGCGUUAUCCGGAUUUACUGGGUUUAAAGGGUGUGUAGGCGGACUUUUAAGUCAGCGGUGAAAUCUCCGGGCUCAACCCGGAAACUGCCAUUGAUACUAUUAGUCUUGAAUCUUGUUGAGGUAGGCGGAACGGGUCAUGUAGCGGUGAAAUGCAUAGAUAUGACCCGGAACACCGAUUGCGAAGGCAGCCUACUAAGCAAGUAUUGACGCUGAGGCACGGAAAGCGUGGGGAAUCAAACAGG
This 255-nucleotide ribosomal RNA is filed under the name uncultured bacterium. RNAcentral describes it as "partial 16S ribosomal RNA". It matches the Rfam family "Bacterial small subunit ribosomal RNA", at positions 524 to 776 of the family's 1533-position model. The record is from RNAcentral.